AGAGUUUGAUCAUGGCUCAGGACGAACGCUGGCGGCGUGCCUAAUACAUGCAAGUCGAGCGAGCUUGCCUAGAUGAUUUUAGUGCUUGCACUAAAUGAAACUAGAUACAAGCGAGCGGCGGACGGGUGAGUAACACGUGGGUAACCUGCCCAAGAGACUGGGAUAACACCUGGAAACAGAUGCUAAUACCGGAUAACAACACUAGACGCAUGUCUAGAGUUUGAAAGAUGGUUCUGCUAUCACUCUUGGAUGGACCUGCGGUGCAUUAGCUAGUUGGUAAGGUAACGGCUUACCAAGGCAAUGAUGCAUAGCCGAGUUGAGAGACUGAUCGGCCACAUUGGGACUGAGACACGGCCCAAACUCCUACGGGAGGCAGCAGUAGGGAAUCUUCCACAAUGGACGAAAGUCUGAUGGAGCAACGCCGCGUGAGUGAAGAAGGGUUUCGGCUCGUAAAGCUCUGUUGGUAGUGAAGAAAGAUAGAGGUAGUAACUGGCCUUUAUUUGACGGUAAUUACCUAGAAAGUCACGGCUAACUACGUGCCAGCAGCCGCGGUAAUACGUAGGUGGCAAGCGUUGUCCGGAUUUAUUGGGCGUAAAGCGAGUGCGGGCGGUUCAAUAAGUCUGAUGUGAAAGCCUUCGGCUCAACCGGAGAAUUGCAUCAGAAACUGUUGAACUUGAGUGCAGAAGAGGAGAGUGGAACUCCAUGUGUAGCGGUGGAAUGCGUAGAUAUAUGGAAGAACACCAGUGGCGAAGGCGGCUCUCUGGUCUGCAACUGACGCUGAGGCUCGAAAGCAUGGGUAGCGAACAGGAUUAGAUACCCUGGUAGUCCAUGCCGUAAACGAUGAGUGCUAAGUGUUGGGAGGUUUCCGCCUCUCAGUGCUGCAGCUAACGCAUUAAGCACUCCGCCUGGGGAG
RNAcentral lists this ribosomal RNA (913 nucleotides) under uncultured bacterium. RNAcentral describes it as "bacterial SSU rRNA". It matches the Rfam family "Bacterial small subunit ribosomal RNA", at positions 8 to 880 of the family's 1533-position model. The record is from RNAcentral.